This is a long non-coding RNA of Eucalyptus grandis, 4829 nucleotides long. RefSeq lists it as uncharacterized. The record is from RefSeq and is a predicted model, not a curated record. Lineage: Eukaryota; Viridiplantae; Streptophyta; Magnoliopsida; Myrtales; Myrtaceae. The transcript is spliced from 6 exons.
UAUCUUUGCAGAUUGAUUAUCAUCUAGUCCUGAUCCUCUCACGGGUCGGAGUUUUGCUAGACUCGACUAAGUGGUGAUCUGGUGCGAGCUGAUGAUUGUCUGAAGUUGGAUAAGCUCUUUCACCUCUGGAGGCGGUUAUCGGUUUGAUUGAAAUUUGUUCUCCAGUCCCAUAAUUUUCCAAUUAAUGCAAAACCUGAUUCUCAUUCCUUCGGAGUUCGGUGUUUUAUUGAUGUAUGACCUGUGAUGGUUCUUUGCAAGGUGUAUGCAUCACAACAGAUUACUAUCUAAUACGGAUCCGCUUGCUGGUGUUUCCUUCCCAGAAAUAGUCCCUUCCUCAUGUUCUCUUCGUGCAUCUAUGAUUGUGCAUGCAUUCCUCAAUCGGCUGACACCCUUACUCUUCAAAGGAGACAUCGUUCCUGAAAACGCACUCCUGGCCUGUCUUCUUUUCUUUUUAUUUCUUGAUUGGUUUUAAAAUCAGUCUGAUUCUGUUUACGCUAUGUUAUUUUCUGAAGGAAUGCCUGGCCUCUCUUGGACUCUGCCAUGUUGUGGGCAGUGUUAAGGUUAUUGCUCAUCUGACCGUUGGUUGAUUUAUCAUUGAUUGAUCUUUCCAUUGUAUCAUGAGCUGAUUCUGGCAUUAACUAUUCCUUGAAUUGGCAGUGGUUUCUUUCUUCUCGGAGCAAUCAUUUUCUCUGAGGAUGAUGUCUGAGAGGACAAUGAAUAUGAUCCAGCUGGACAAACGAUGGACUGAAAUUUUGACAACCUUCUAGGCUUCUUUUUCAAAUGGAAAGUUUUACUGGUUUUGACAGCUGGUGAUCUGUUGCGUUUUCUGUGGGGCUGAGUUGAUAAUUGUUCAAAAUUAUCAGAUUUUGGUCGAGGCAAUACUUUACGUGGCCAAGUUCGAUAUGGAGUGUCUAUGAUCUGUGAUGUUCUUUCUUGCUGCAUAAACAUCAAUUUCUGAUUUGUCUUCCACUUAUGUUAUCGUCUAGUUAAGGUGGUUAUCAUCUAGUUGAGGUGGAACAAUCAGUUAUUCUCUUUUCUUCGCAGGUCAUAGUUUGGUCAAGGCAAUACCUUACCUCGUCAAUUUCGAGAUGGAGUGUCUGUGGUCCAUGAUGGUUCUUUCUUGCUGCAUAAGAAUUAAUUCAUAGGACAAGCUCUCCUUUCAGAGUGCUUUCUUGUCUGAAAAGUUCUACACAAUUGGUUUCACUUCGGGGCAAAGUGGUAGCAUCUUAUUUCGAAAUGACGUACUUCAGAUAUCUAUCGCAAUAUGCAUUCUUAAUCUUUCUUAUAUUGUUUCUAUUUGGUAAUGGAAGAUGAUGGAUGAUACCAGUCGCUCUUUGGGAGAUUAGAGACUAUUUUAUCUUUGGGAUUGGAUUGGAAACUUUUGAUUAGUAUGUCUUACCUUUUUCUUUGAUGGAAACUAUCCUGCAUUUUAUUUAUCAUGGACUUUUUCCUUUCAACAUACUUUGUUACACAUUCAUUUCGAAAUACGUUUCUUGCAUAUGAAUUUGUUUUGACUUGGUGUGUAUGUCUGCUUGAAUUUUGUGUCAAUGAAAUGUUAAAUUUGGUUUAUUUGAAGAAAGUGUUUAUAUUUUUAUGAGAUUGAUGUUGUCUGCAUGUUGCAUCUUUCCUCUUGUAGCAAUCUCUUCAUCCGAGCAUGUCGUCUAAGAAUGACAAAUACAUAGAAGCUGGAUGAGCGAAUUUUGAGGAUUUAUAGGCAUCUUGUAGUUUUGAUUUAAGUUUGUCUUCAGUUGAUUAUCUUCCGGAGCAGUGAGAUAAUUAUUAUUGAGUUCUAAUUCCUCUACUGGAAGCUUUUCCAUGUUGAGAAGUGGUGUGAUCUAUUGCCUUCUUCUGUAGGGUGAGUUGAUGAUUGUUUGAAAUUGGAUAAACAGCCAUUUUGUGGAUUCUAAGGACUGGUAUAUAUGAUGAGGUUGGUCAAUUAUUACUUAGAAUGACUGAGCUUUUCUUGAGUUUGACGAUCUAUUCACAUCUAUCUUCGGUUGGGUUGGUGUAUGGGCAGUGUCCUUGAUCAUCUCGAGGACCAGUUGAAGAGCUGAAAUUUUGAUAAACUCCUGCUGCGUAGGCACUUUGUUGAAUGUCAUUCCUCAGUUGAUUCCCUUGGAGUGGAAAGAUGACGAUUCAGCUUUUUCUGUAUGGCUAAGUUGAUGAAUUGCGGAGUCUGCGCUUUGUUUGAAAUUGGAUAAGCUCCCCCUUCUUGGAUUUGGUUCCUUUGAUGUCUUCACUCUACAUGUGUACAUGGAUGAAUCCUUAAUCAAUUAAUAUUUUGGCCAUGCUAUGAUAGGGUGUGCGAGAACAAGCUCGACUUAUGCUUUGAGGGUUUGAAAUUUGACAAAAGAUCGUGGAUUGUCAUUGGAUGGCCUCUGUUGGACAUACUUGCAAAAGGAGAGUACUAAGUCUGCUUAGUUGCAAUAAGAUAUCUGUAUGGAUUUUUGCUUAGGCGAUAUUCUCCCCUUCUAUAAUACUUUCUUCUGGCACCGUCAUUGUUGGGGACAGUUUACAAGUGAGGGUUUUUGUAUGUGAGAUGGGUUGUUUUUAGUGUGUAGGGUGCCACCUUGGGGCCUAAAUUGUGAAUAUUUUAGGUUCUCGUGUAUCCAUGGGACAAUGAAGGCUUUUCUGCACGGACCCAAGUCAUACUCCAUUGCAAACUGUUAGCAUCUCAUUCUGAAAAGAUGAACUAUGCUGUGCUUUUGCCUGUUUGCAUGAUUGGCAUAUGUGAUCAGGUCUCACAUGGGGAUGUUGACCGGACAGCCAUAUGGACAUAACUACCUUGGCAUUGCUUGCGCUUGGACCGGUUCUCUCCUUUCUGCUGAUUCUCUCAUUUCUUAUUCAUCACAAAGCUGUGUUGUUUCAUGUAUGCUGUCUGCAGACAUGGCUGGUCAAGCUGGGAGGAGCAGACACUUGGUGCUUGGUUGCCAUGUUUGUCAAAUUUUGUAGUUAUUUUUAAAUCGGUGAAGCUGAAGGGGCAGACAACAAUCCUGUAGUGAAUAAGCUUUGGUUUGAGUUUUUAGCAUAUCUAGCGAGGAUAGACCCCUUCUGAUCUCUUAUGAUACCCUAAUGUACGACAGGUGAACUUCUACUUCGUAUAUAUGAUCUAAAUUUAAUAAAGCAAACCUGUUUAGGGCUAUGAACUUAUACAUGUCCAAUUGCAUCAUGAUCCUUUGCGAAUGAUGAUCUGUCGACCAGAUAUUUACUGUAUCUCUUUCUCAUCGGCUCUACAAGGGUUGUUCGAAGUCAUCUUCCUUGUAAUUGGAGAUACUUGACGGUUGCCUCAUGAUCAGGUUUAUUUGCUUUGGUAUUUUCUUUGAAGGGAUGAAUUUUGAAGCAUCUGGUUGGGUCUAUGUCCAGAACAAUGUUGGCGAAGGCUCUGAUUUUGGAUAGAAAGCUUAUCAAAGUUAUUAAGGUUCAAAGUCUCCCUCUGAUCAUACUAAUUUUGUGGCGUCCAUGCUGUAUGGACUUAUUCAGUUUUCCACGGGUGCUUGUUCCAGUUUAGAGCGAUCUAACUGAGGACCGUGUAAUCAAAACUGUUAGAGAAUCCAAGUUCUUGAGUUGGGAAGGCAGGAGGUUGUUAUUUAAUGCAAUUAUGUUUAGUUGAGCUACUGAAUUGUUGUUUUCCUUUUUAGAUCGGAGUGAUGAGAGCUGGUUCUGGAUCUUUCUACAGGGAUUGUCUGAUUGUUUUAUUUUCAAGGAUUAGAGGAGAUGCGAUGAACAUAGAGUUCUCUCAUGUUGUGAGUUGGAGUCCUUUUGUUGCAGAUCAUUCUGAAUUCGACCUGGUUUGUGUUGUAGUGUAUUUGAGUUAGCAAGCUUUUGCUUUUUGCUUCUCCUGGGGUAUUUUUAUAUAAGUAGUUUUUUGGGUUCCAGUUCAAGUAUCUCUCUUUGAUGAUGUCGUGCUCUCUAUCUUCAUCUACAAACCUCACUGAAUAAAUUUACAAUUACUACAGUUGAGUCUUGUGUCCAAGGCUAAGUCUCGUUGUUGCUUAGGUUGGUCAUAUGUGGCUACUUUUUGCUGCUUCUGGGGGUAUUUUUGGUAUAAUUGGUUAAUUUUGGGUGCCAGUUCAAGUCUCUCUUUUUGAUAAUAUCGUCCGCUCAUCUUUUUCUGUGAACUUCAUUGGAUAAAACUCCUAUUGAGUCCUGUUUCUAGGCUAAUUCUAGUUGCUGCUUUGCUGGUGGCACACAUGGAUGGCAGUUUGGCUUGUCAGAUGCUUCUAGAUUAUACUUGAGAGAUGAGAAACUGAUUGCAGAUAUUCACCAACAUCAUGGCAGAUUAUUCAUUUCUACUUUCAAUUGGUUUGUUGCAGUCCGUAGAAGCUCUCUCUUGGUGAUUCUCUUUAUAUUGAAGUUCCAGAGGUCCACCCCUAUAUUGCGGAGAUUCUUGAGGGUUUCGCUUGCCCUACAAUCUUUAUUGGCAUCUGGCGAUAUCAUCUUCUUCCAGAGAGAAGAAGUAGCGAUUAUCCCGAUCGAGCGUUCUCCAUCGGCCUUUCUCCUUUUUGGUUUCUGUUUCUUGAUCGGGGAUUGAUUGCUUUCUCGGGCUGAUUUUGUGAAGCAUUUGGUUGCAGAAGACUCAAUGUUGUGGAGAUUUUUGAGGGCUUGGCUCGGCCUACGGUUCCUAUUUGGUUAUUGGAUUCUUUGGUUUAUGCCUCGUCCCUUCGAUCGCUUAGUGAUUCAUUGACCGAUCGAUUAAACUUUGGGUUGUUGUUUUGACCAGCUCCUUCUGGAUUCUCGUUGUUCGGUGAAUUGGCAGUGUGGCUUCUUUCUUUCAUAUGAGGAUGCUGUCGCAGCAAGUGUUUGGUUUAGACCUCCUUUUCUGACCGGUU